Molecule: ribosomal RNA, 408 nt
Filed under: uncultured bacterium
Lineage: Bacteria
Description: partial 16S ribosomal RNA
Rfam family: Bacterial small subunit ribosomal RNA
Source: RNAcentral
GACGAACGCUGGCGGCGUGCUUAACACAUGCAAGUCGAACGAAGUGGCGAACGGGUGAGUAACGCGUAAUCAACCUGCCCUUCAGAGGGGGACAACAGUUGGAAACGACUGCUAAUACCGCAUACUGAAGGAGGGGAUUGCGUCUGAUUAGCUAGUUGGUGAGGUAACGGCUCACCAAGGCCACGAUGCAUAGCCGACCUGAGAGGGUGAUCGGCCACACUGGGACUGAGACACGGCCCAGACUCCUACGGGAGGCAGCAGUAGGGAAUCUUCGGCAAUGGACGAAAGUCUGAUCCAGCCAUGCCGCGUGUGUGAAGAAGGUCUUCGGAUUGUAAAGCACUUUAAGUUGGGAGGCGUUACCAACAGAAUAAGCACCGGCUAACUUCGUGCCAGCCGCCGCGGUAAUAC